RNAcentral lists this long non-coding RNA (895 nucleotides) under Salmo salar (Atlantic salmon). RNAcentral describes it as "lncRNA (ENSSSAG00000081822.1)". The record is from RNAcentral. Lineage: Eukaryota; Metazoa; Chordata; Actinopteri; Salmoniformes; Salmonidae.
UACCCUCGGCUGGGAAUUCUUCAAACUCAUCGUCCUCCUCUAAUAAUCCCAAAUCUACAGUCUGUUUCUUGUCAGACAUGUUAACUGCCUUUCCGUUGCGCGGGUCUAUCGUGAACAAAUGGACUUCCAGCGAGAGGGUUUCUGGGAUAGUGGAGGUUCAAGAGAAGUCUGCUUGCUCAUGGGCAGUGCUCUGCCAACAGAAUCCCACGUCACACGAUGCUCCUGAUUCUGCACGAAGCCAACCAGGUAGAAAAAUGGCAGAAAAAUGGCAGAAAAAAGACGGACAUCAGAGUAUUUUUCAGUACACCAAAACGCAAAGCAGAGCAGGCAAAAGAUGGCACACAGACAGCAGAGUUGGGGACAGAUAUGCAGGGACAGACUGGCAGAGACAGGGAGUCUCAGGUGGCUCUGCCCAGCGUUCCUCACUCUGUUGCACCCACCUCCCUCUCACCAUUGCCUCAGGCCCUGGCCUCUAAUGUACUCCUCUGGGACCCCAGCAGAGUCCAGAGGCCCAGAGACCAAAGAACCAGGCCUGCCUGCUGCUCCACUCUUCAUGCUCACUUGAAUUGAAUAUCUGAGAAAAACCUGUGGCCCUCUCUACCAUUCCCCCCACCCCACCCCCUUCUUUCCCUCUCCAUCUUCUUUGGUGACUGUGCUAUUUUUGGCUCUCCUCUGGACAUAUGUCAUUGAGGAGUGCGUGCAGUGGCUGGAUAAUUAAGGCUACCUCAAAGCGGGCAUAAAAAAUUGGGAGAUAUUUAUUAGGCAGUACAUUAGCUGCUUGUCGUGAGUGCGUGUCAGGCCUGUAAAACAAAGUUUGAUUGAGAAAGUCAGAAAAUGUGGUAGUGUAACUACUGUUGUUGCCGUUGGUACUCCAGCAGAGACGUGGAAAUCAUUC